This 484-nucleotide ribosomal RNA is filed under the name uncultured bacterium. RNAcentral's name for it is "partial 16S ribosomal RNA". It matches the Rfam family "Bacterial small subunit ribosomal RNA", at positions 29 to 507 of the family's 1533-position model. The record is from RNAcentral.
AUUGAACGCUGGCGGCAGGCCUAACACAUGCAAGUCGAGCGGAUGAAGGGAGCUUGCUCCUGGAUUCAGCGGCGGACGGGUGAGUAAUGCCUAGGAAUCUGCCUGGUAGUGGGGGAUAACGUCCGGAAACGGGCGCUAAUACCGCAUACGUCCUGAGGGAGAAAGUGGGGGAUCUUCGGACCUCACGCUAUCAGAUGAGCCUAGGCCGGAUUAGCUAGUUGGUGCGGUAAAGGCCUACCAAGGCGACGAUCCGUAACUGGGCUGAGGGGGUGAUCAGUCAAAGUGGAACUGGGACGCGGUCCAGACUCCUACGGGAGCCAGCAGUAGGGAAUCGUCCGCAAUAGGCGAAAACAUGACGGAAGAAGGCCGAGGGAGAGAUGAAGGUCUUGGGAUCGUAAAAAUCUGUUAUUAGGGAAGAACAGAUGUGUCAGUAAAAGUUCACAUCGUGACGGUACGUAAUAAGAAAGCCACGGCUAACUACGUG